RNAcentral lists this ribosomal RNA (420 nucleotides) under uncultured bacterium. RNAcentral's name for it is "bacterial SSU rRNA". It matches the Rfam family "Bacterial small subunit ribosomal RNA", at positions 96 to 500 of the family's 1533-position model. The record is from RNAcentral.
CGGCGGACGGGUGAGUAACACGUGGGCAACCUGCCUAUAAGACUGGGAUAACUUCGGGAAACCGGAGCUAAUACCGGAUAAUAUAUGAGACCACAUGGUCUCAUAUUAAAAGAUGGCUUUUAGCUAUCACUUAUAGAUGGGCCCGCGGCGCAUUAGCUAGUUGGUGAGGUAAUGGCUCACCAAGGCGACGAUGCGUAGCCGACCUGAGAGGGUGAUCGGCCACACUGGGACUGAGACACGGCCCAGACUCCUACGGGAGGCAGCAGUAGGGAAUCUUCCGCAAUGGACGAAAGUCUGACGGAGCAACGCCGCGUGAGCGAAGAAGGUCUUCGGAUCGUAAAGCUCUGUUGUUAGGGAAGAACAAGUACCGUUCAAAUAGGGCGGUACCUUGACGGUACCUAACCAGAAAGCCACGGCUAG